RNAcentral lists this ribosomal RNA (2930 nucleotides) under Escherichia coli. RNAcentral's name for it is "bacterial LSU rRNA". It matches the Rfam family "Bacterial large subunit ribosomal RNA". Lineage: Bacteria; Pseudomonadati; Pseudomonadota; Gammaproteobacteria; Enterobacterales; Enterobacteriaceae. The record is from RNAcentral.
GGGUUGUGAGGUUAAGCGACUAAGCGUACACGGUGGAUGCCCUGGCAGUCAGAGGCGAUGAAGGACGUGCUAAUCUGCGAUAAGCGUCGGUAAGGUGAUAUGAACCGUUAUAACCGGCGAUUUCCGAAUGGGGAAACCCAGUGUGAUUCGUCACACUAUCAUUAACUGAAUCCAUAGGUUAAUGAGGCGAACCGGGGGAACUGAAACAUCUAAGUACCCCGAGGAAAAGAAAUCAACCGAGAUUCCCCCAGUAGCGGCGAGCGAACGGGGAGCAGCCCAGAGCCUGAAUCAGUGUGUGUGUUAGUGGAAGCGUCUGGAAAGGCGCGCGAUACAGGGUGACAGCCCCGUACACAAAAAUGCACAUGCUGUGAGCUCGAUGAGUAGGGCGGGACACGUGGUAUCCUGUCUGAAUAUGGGGGGACCAUCCUCCAAGGCUAAAUACUCCUGACUGACCGAUAGUGAACCAGUACCGUGAGGGAAAGGCGAAAAGAACCCCGGCGAGGGGAGUGAAAAAGAACCUGAAACCGUGUACGUACAAGCAGUGGGAGCACGCUUAGGCGUGUGACUGCGUACCUUUUGUAUAAUGGGUCAGCGACUUAUAUUCUGUAGCAAGGUUAACCGAAUAGGGGAGCCGAAGGGAAACCGAGUCUUAACUGGGCGUUAAGUUGCAGGGUAUAGACCCGAAACCCGGUGAUCUAGCCAUGGGCAGGUUGAAGGUUGGGUAACACUAACUGGAGGACCGAACCGACUAAUGUUGAAAAAUUAGCGGAUGACUUGUGGCUGGGGGUGAAAGGCCAAUCAAACCGGGAGAUAGCUGGUUCUCCCCGAAAGCUAUUUAGGUAGCGCCUCGUGAAUUCAUCUCCGGGGGUAGAGCACUGUUUCGGCAAGGGGGUCAUCCCGACUUACCAACCCGAUGCAAACUGCGAAUACCGGAGAAUGUUAUCACGGGAGACACACGGCGGGUGCUAACGUCCGUCGUGAAGAGGGAAACAACCCAGACCGCCAGCUAAGGUCCCAAAGUCAUGGUUAAGUGGGAAACGAUGUGGGAAGGCCCAGACAGCCAGGAUGUUGGCUUAGAAGCAGCCAUCAUUUAAAGAAAGCGUAAUAGCUCACUGGUCGAGUCGGCCUGCGCGGAAGAUGUAACGGGGCUAAACCAUGCACCGAAGCUGCGGCAGCGACACUAUGUGUUGUUGGGUAGGGGAGCGUUCUGUAAGCCUGUGAAGGUGUACUGUGAGGUAUGCUGGAGGUAUCAGAAGUGCGAAUGCUGACAUAAGUAACGAUAAAGCGGGUGAAAAGCCCGCUCGCCGGAAGACCAAGGGUUCCUGUCCAACGUUAAUCGGGGCAGGGUGAGUCGACCCCUAAGGCGAGGCCGAAAGGCGUAGUCGAUGGGAAACAGGUUAAUAUUCCUGUACUUGGUGUUACUGCGAAGGGGGGACGGAGAAGGCUAUGUUGGCCGGGCGACGGUUGUCCCGGUUUAAGCGUGUAGGCUGGUUUUCCAGGCAAAUCCGGAAAAUCAAGGCUGAGGCGUGAUGACGAGGCACUACGGUGCUGAAGCAACAAAUGCCCUGCUUCCAGGAAAAGCCUCUAAGCAUCAGGUAACAUCAAAUCGUACCCCAAACCGACACAGGUGGUCAGGUAGAGAAUACCAAGGCGCUUGAGAGAACUCGGGUGAAGGAACUAGGCAAAAUGGUGCCGUAACUUCGGGAGAAGGCACGCUGAUAUGUAGGUGAAGUCCCUCGCGGAUGGAGCUGAAAUCAGUCGAAGAUACCAGCUGGCUGCAACUGUUUAUUAAAAACACAGCACUGUGCAAACACGAAAGUGGACGUAUACGGUGUGACGCCUGCCCGGUGCCGGAAGGUUAAUUGAUGGGGUCAGCGCAAGCGAAGCUCUUGAUCGAAGCCCCGGUAAACGGCGGCCGUAACUAUAACGGUCCUAAGGUAGCGAAAUUCCUUGUCGGGUAAGUUCCGACCUGCACGAAUGGCGUAAUGAUGGCCAGGCUGUCUCCACCCGAGACUCAGUGAAAUUGAACUCGCUGUGAAGAUGCAGUGUACCCGCGGCAAGACGGAAAGACCCCGUGAACCUUUACUAUAGCUUGACACUGAACAUUGAGCCUUGAUGUGUAGGAUAGGUGGGAGGCUUUGAAGUGUGGACGCCAGUCUGCAUGGAGCCGACCUUGAAAUACCACCCUUUAAUGUUUGAUGUUCUAACGUUGACCCGUAAUCCGGGUUGCGGACAGUGUCUGGUGGGUAGUUUGACUGGGGCGGUCUCCUCCUAAAGAGUAACGGAGGAGCACGAAGGUUGGCUAAUCCUGGUCGGACAUCAGGAGGUUAGUGCAAUGGCAUAAGCCAGCUUGACUGCGAGCGUGACGGCGCGAGCAGGUGCGAAAGCAGGUCAUAGUGAUCCGGUGGUUCUGAAUGGAAGGGCCAUCGCUCAACGGAUAAAAGGUACUCCGGGGAUAACAGGCUGAUACCGCCCAAGAGUUCAUAUCGACGGCGGUGUUUGGCACCUCGAUGUCGGCUCAUCACAUCCUGGGGCUGAAGUAGGUCCCAAGGGUAUGGCUGUUCGCCAUUUAAAGUGGUACGCGAGCUGGGUUUAGAACGUCGUGAGACAGUUCGGUCCCUAUCUGCCGUGGGCGCUGGAGAAUUGAGGGGGGCUGCUCCUAGUACGAGAGGACCGGAGUGGACGCAUCACUGGUGUUCGGGUUGUCAUGCCAAUGGCACUGCCCGGUAGCUAAAUGCGGAAGAGAUAAGUGCUGAAAGCAUCUAAGCACGAAACUUGCCCCGAGAUGAGUUCUCCCUGACUCCUUGAGAGUCCUGAAGGAACGUUGAAGACGACGACGUUGAUAGGCCGGGUGUGUAAGCGCAGCGAUGCGUUGAGCUAACCGGUACUAAUGAACCGUGAGGCUUAACCUUACAACGCCGAAGGUGUUU